GUUGUAGCAGUAGCGUGUGUGGCUGAAGGUUCUCCUUAACCUUCACAGUAACAUCUGGCAGUACUCAGCAGCUCCCCAGAGAGAGAACUGCGCAGUGCCGGCUCCAGUGGAUGUGGUGGAUGAGGACUCACCAUCGUGUUGUUGAGCCUGCCUUUCCACUGGAUGGCGCUCGGCACUCACCCUCUUUUUGAACAGGUAAAGAUGUUCCCAAAA
Molecule: long non-coding RNA, 213 nt
Organism: Cavia porcellus (domestic guinea pig)
Lineage: Eukaryota; Metazoa; Chordata; Mammalia; Rodentia; Caviidae
Exons: 2
Source: RefSeq, a predicted model, not a curated record